GUACUGAUGAAGAGUCCCAAACUAGGACGAAACAGCCGUCUAAUAC
Molecule: non-coding RNA, 46 nt
Filed under: Trichobilharzia regenti
Lineage: Eukaryota; Metazoa; Platyhelminthes; Trematoda; Strigeidida; Schistosomatidae
Source: RNAcentral